UAGGGAAUCUUCGGCAAUGGGGGCAACCCUGACCGAGCAACGCCGCGUGAGUGAAGAAGGUUUUCGGAUCGUAAAGCUCUGUUGUAAGAGAAGAACGUGUGUGAGAGUGGAAAGUUCACACAGUGACGGUAACUUACCAGAAAGGGACGGCUAACUACGUGCCAGCAGCCGCGGUAAUACGUAGGUCCCGAGCGUUGUCCGGAUUUAUUGGGCGUAAAGCGAGCGCAGGCGGUUUAAUAAGUCUGAAGUUAAAGGCAGUGGCUUAACCAUUGUUCGCUUUGGAAACUGUUCAACUUGAGUGCAGAAGGGGAGAGUGGAAUUCCAUGUGUAGCGGUGAAAUGCGUAGAUAUAUGGAGGAACACCGGUGGCGAAAGCGGCUCUCUGGUCUGUAACUGACGCUGCGGCUCGAAAGCGUGGGGAGCAAACAGG
RNAcentral lists this ribosomal RNA (429 nucleotides) under bacterium. RNAcentral's name for it is "partial 16S ribosomal RNA". It matches the Rfam family "Bacterial small subunit ribosomal RNA", at positions 355 to 776 of the family's 1533-position model. The record is from RNAcentral.